Molecule: non-coding RNA, 151 nt
Organism: Gossypium arboreum
Lineage: Eukaryota; Viridiplantae; Streptophyta; Magnoliopsida; Malvales; Malvaceae
Source: Rfam
GGUUAAAAUUUUCAUUUCUUUCUACUGUUAAAAACUAGCAUUGCUAAUAGAAAACUAGAUAGCUACACAUGAUGUGUCACGUAUAACUUAUACCUCAUGUUGACGUACAAUGACCAAAUUUUAACAGUAGAAAUAGAUAAAAUUUUCAACA